GGGUGAUUAGCUCAGCUGGUAGAGCGCCUGCCUUACAAGCAGGAUGUCGGCGGUUCGAACCCGUCAUCGCCCA
Molecule: transfer RNA, 73 nt
Filed under: Desulfosporosinus cupriresistens
Lineage: Bacteria; Bacillati; Bacillota; Clostridia; Eubacteriales; Desulfitobacteriaceae
Also listed under: 2 other names
Description: Desulfosporosinus sp. BG tRNA
Rfam family: tRNA
About the family: Transfer RNA (tRNA) molecules are approximately 80 nucleotides in length.
Source: Rfam by way of RNAcentral